This 70-nucleotide transfer RNA is filed under the name Dipodomys ordii (Ord's kangaroo rat). It matches the Rfam family "tRNA". From Rfam's summary of the family: Transfer RNA (tRNA) molecules are approximately 80 nucleotides in length. Their secondary structure includes four short double-helical elements and three loops (D, anti-codon, and T loops). Lineage: Eukaryota; Metazoa; Chordata; Mammalia; Rodentia; Heteromyidae. The record is from Rfam by way of RNAcentral.
GGGAAUGUGGCUUAGUGGUAGAGUAUUUGCCUAACAUGUAGGAAGCUCUGGGUUCAAUUCCUCACUACCA